GUGGGGAAUAUUGCGCAAUGGGGGAAACCCUGACGCAGCAACGCCGCGUGAGUGAGGAAGGACUUCGGUCUGUAAAGCUCUGUUAAUGUGGAAAAAUGGUAGUUGGUCUAAUAGGCCGAUUAUUUGAUGGUACACAUAGAGGAAGCACCGGCUAACUUCGUGCCAGCAGCCGCGGUAAUACGAAGGGUGCAAGCGUUGUUCGGAUUUAUUGGGCGUAAAGCGCGCGUAGGCGGACCUGCAAGUAAGAUGUGAAAUCUCGGGGCUCAACCCCGAAACUGCGUCUGAAACUACAGGUCUAGAAUCUUGGAGGGGGAAGGGGAAUAUCGCAUGUAGGGGUAAAAUCCGUAGAUAUGCGAUGGAACACCAGAGGCGAAGGCGCCUUCCUGGACAAGUAUUGACGCUGAGGCGCGAAAGCGUGGGGAUCAAACAGGAUUAGAUACCCCGGUAGUCC
RNAcentral lists this ribosomal RNA (451 nucleotides) under uncultured bacterium. RNAcentral describes it as "partial 16S ribosomal RNA". It matches the Rfam family "Bacterial small subunit ribosomal RNA", at positions 354 to 796 of the family's 1533-position model. The record is from RNAcentral.